Molecule: signal recognition particle RNA, 148 nt
Filed under: Pan troglodytes (chimpanzee)
Lineage: Eukaryota; Metazoa; Chordata; Mammalia; Primates; Hominidae
Description: Metazoan signal recognition particle RNA
Rfam family: Metazoan signal recognition particle RNA
About the family: The signal recognition particle (SRP) is a universally conserved ribonucleoprotein. It is involved in the co-translational targeting of proteins to membranes.
Source: Rfam by way of RNAcentral
GCUGGGAGUAGUGGUGCACGCCUGUAGUCCCAACUACUUGGGAGGCUGAGGUGGGAAGAUUUCUUGAGCCCAGGAAUUUGAGGCUGCAGUGAGCUAUGAUAGCGCCAUUGAGCUCCAGCCUGGGCAACAGAGUGAGAUCCUGCCUCAA